This 497-nucleotide ribosomal RNA is filed under the name uncultured bacterium. RNAcentral's name for it is "partial 16S ribosomal RNA". It matches the Rfam family "Bacterial small subunit ribosomal RNA", at positions 28 to 507 of the family's 1533-position model. The record is from RNAcentral.
GAUGAACGCUGGCGGCGUGCCUAAUACAUGCGAGUCGAGCGAACAGACGAGGAGCUUGCUCCUCUGACGUUAGCGGCGGACGGGUGAGUAACACGUGGAUAACCUACCUAUAAGACUGGGAUAACUUCGGGAAACCGGAGCUAAUACCGGAUAACAUGUUGAACCGCAUGGUUCAACAGUGAAAGACGGUCUUGCUGUCACUUAUAGAUGGAUCCGCGCUGCAUUAGCUAGUUGGUAAGGUAACGGCUUACCAAGGCAACGAUGCGUAGCCGACCUGAGAGGGUAAUCGGCCACACUGGAACUGAGACACGGUCCAGACUCCUACGGGAGGCAGCAGUAGGGAAUCUUCCGCAAUGGGCGAAAGCCUGACGGAGCAACGCCGCGUGAGUGAAGAAGGUCUUCGGAUCGUAAAACUCUGUUAUUAGGGAAGAACAAAUGUGUAAGUAACUAUGCACGUCUUGACGGUACCUAAUCAGAAAGCCACGGCUAACUACGUG